RNAcentral lists this ribosomal RNA (407 nucleotides) under Cardinium endosymbiont of Bemisia tabaci. Its description in RNAcentral is "bacterial SSU rRNA". It matches the Rfam family "Bacterial small subunit ribosomal RNA", at positions 233 to 637 of the family's 1533-position model. The record is from RNAcentral. RNAcentral also lists the same sequence under 1 other name. Lineage: Bacteria; Pseudomonadati; Bacteroidota; Cytophagia; Cytophagales; Amoebophilaceae.
CGCUCCUAUUAGCUAGUUGGUGAGGUAAUGGCUCACCAAGGCUACGAUGGGUAGGGGUUCUUAGUGGAAGGUCCCCCACACUGGCACUGAGAUACGGGCCAGACUCCUACGGGAGGCAGCAGUAGGGAAUAUUGGUCAAUGGGCGCAAGCCUGAACCAGCCAUGCCGCGCGCAGGAUGAAGGCUCUCUGAGUUGUAAACUGCUUUUGUACAGGAGCAAAAAAAUCCCUGCGGGGGUUCUUGAGAGUACUGUAAGAAUAAGCACCGGCUAAUUCCGUGCCAGCAGCCGCGGUAAUACGGGAGGUGCAAGCGUUAUCCGGUUUUAUUGGGUUUAAAGGGUGCGUAGGCGGCUUAUUAAGUCAGUUGUGAAAUCCUAGUGCUUAACGCUAGAACUGCGAUUGAUACUAUU